RNAcentral lists this ribosomal RNA (432 nucleotides) under uncultured bacterium. Its description in RNAcentral is "partial 16S ribosomal RNA". It matches the Rfam family "Bacterial small subunit ribosomal RNA", at positions 28 to 507 of the family's 1533-position model. The record is from RNAcentral.
GAUGAACGCUGGCGGUAUGCUUAACACAUGCAAGUCGAACGGUCACUUCGGUGAUAGUGGCGGACGGGUGAGUAACGCGUGAGAAUCUGUCUUCAGGUCGGGGACAACAGUUAGAAAUGACUGCUAAUACCGGAUGUGCCUUUGGGUGAAAGAUUUAUUGCCUGAAAAAGAGCUCGCGUCAGAUUAGCUAGUAGGUGGUGUAAGAGACUACCUAGGCUCCGAUAUGUAGCUGGUCUGAGAGGACGAUCAGCCACACUGGAACUGAGACACGGUCCAGACUCCUACGGGAUGCAGCAGUGGGGAAUAUACCGCAAUGGACAAAAGCCUGACGAGGCAGUACCGCGUGAGGGACGAAUGCUUUUGGGUCGUACACCUCUUUUCUCAAGGCAGAUGAUGACGGUACUUGAGAAAUAAGCUUCGGCUAACUCUGUG